This 389-nucleotide ribosomal RNA is filed under the name uncultured eukaryote. RNAcentral's name for it is "SSU rRNA". It matches the Rfam family "Eukaryotic small subunit ribosomal RNA", at positions 587 to 972 of the family's 1831-position model. The record is from RNAcentral.
AGCUCCAAUAGCAUAUAUUAAAGUUGUUGCAGUUAAAAAGCUCGUAGUUGGAUUUCUGGCAUGAUGCGCCUUGCCCGCCUCGAUUACGAGUGUGUGUGCGAGUGGGCGUCUGCCAUCCAUUUACAGAAUGUGCCUACCUUUGAUUAGGCCGGGUACGUGAUGUAAAUCUUUUACUUUGAAAAAAUUAGAGUGUUUAAAGCAGGCAUUUGCUAUGAAUACAUUAGCAUGGAAUAAUAAUCUAGGACUUCGGUUCUAUUUUGUUGGUUUCUAGAUCUGGAGUAAUGAUUGAUAGGGAUAGUUGGGGGUGCUAGUAUUAAGGGGCCAGAGGUGAAAUUCUUGGAUUCUCUUAAGACUAACUUAUGCGAAAGCAUUCACCAAGGAUGUCUUCU